UUGGCCUUGACAUACUAAGAACUUUCCAGAGAUGGAUUGGUGCCUUCGGGAACUUAGAUACAGGUGCUGCAUGGCUGUCGUCAGCUCGUGUCGUGAGAUGUUGGGUUAAGUCCGCAACGAGCGCAACCCUUUUCCUUAUUUGCCAGCGGGUAAUGCCGGGAACUUUAAGGAUACUGCCAGUGACAAACUGGAGGAGGGCGGGGACGACGUCAAGUCAUCAUGGCCCUUACGGCCAGGGCUACACACGUGCUACAAUGGUCGGUACAAAGGGUUGCUACCUCGCGAGAGGAUGCUAAUCUCAAAAAGCCGAUCGUAGUCCGGAUCGCAGUCUGCAACUCGACUGCGUGAAGUCGGAAUCGCUAGUAAUCGCGGAUCAGAAUGCCGCGGUGAAUACGUUCCCGGGCCUUGUACACACCGCCCGUCACACCAUGGGAGUUUGUUGCACCAGAAGUAGGUAGUCUAACCGCAAGGAGGACGCUUACCACGGUGUGGCCGAUGACUGGGGUGAAGUCGUAACAAGGUAGGCGUAGAUGA
RNAcentral lists this ribosomal RNA (534 nucleotides) under uncultured bacterium. Its description in RNAcentral is "bacterial SSU rRNA". It matches the Rfam family "Bacterial small subunit ribosomal RNA", at positions 975 to 1509 of the family's 1533-position model. The record is from RNAcentral.